Molecule: ribosomal RNA, 495 nt
Filed under: uncultured bacterium
Lineage: Bacteria
Description: partial 16S ribosomal RNA
Rfam family: Bacterial small subunit ribosomal RNA
Source: RNAcentral
GACGAACGCUGGCGGCGUGCCUAAUACAUGCAAGUAGAACGCUGAAGGAGGAGCUUGCUUCUCCGGAUGAGUUGCGAGCGGGUGAGUAACGCGUAGGUAACCUGCCUGGUAGCGGGGGAUAACUAUUGGAAACGAUAGCUAAUACCGCAUAACAGUAGAUAUUGCAUGAUAUCUGCUUGAAAGGUGCAAUUGCAUCACUACCAGAUGGACCUGCGUUGUAUUAGCUAGUUGGUGAGGUAACGGCUCACCAAGGCGACGAUACAUAGCCGACCUGAGAGGGGGAUCGGCCACACUGGGACUGAGACACGGCCCAGACUCCUACGGGAGGCAGCAGUAGGGAAUCUUCGGCAAUGGACGGAAGUCUGACCGAGCAACGCCGCGUGAGUGAAGAAGGUUUUCGGAUCGUAAAGCUCUGUUGUAAGAGAAGAACGAGUGUGAGAGUGGAAAGUUCACACUGUGACGGUAUCUUACCAGAAAGGGACGGCUAACUACGUG